CGCAUCUGUGCAUGCAGCAUAUCAAUAAGCGGAGGAAAAGAAACUAACAAGGAUUCCCUUAGUAACGGCGAGUGAAGCGGGAAGAGCUCAAAUUUGAAAUCUUCAAGGUUUUACCUUGACGAAUUGUAGUUUAAAGAAGUGUUUUCUGUUGAAGUUUUGGUAAAAGUUCUUUGGAAUAGGACAUCAUAGAGGGUGAGAAUCCCGUAUUUGACCAUUAUUUUCAGCUGUGUGAUACACUUUCAAAGAGUCGGAUUGUUUGGGAAUGCAGUCCAAAAUGGGUGGUAAAUUUCAUCUAAAGCUAAAUAUUGGCGAGAGACCGAUAGCGAACAAGUACCGUGAGGGAAAGAUGAAAAGAACUUUGAAAGAGAGGGUUAAACAGUACGUGAAAUUGUCAAAAGGGAAGCGUUUGACACCAGUGUUGUUUUCUCGAAAAUCAAUUAAAAAGAGUUUGAUUUUGUUGUGUAUUGACCUUAACAGCUUGCAUUUCAAUUUUCUUGCUUUUUUUAAUGCACUUUUCGUUUAACAAGUCAACAUCAGUUUCUUUUGUUGUAAAAAGGUCAUUGGAAGGUGGCUUUCUUUUCGGAGAAAGUGUUUAUAGCCUUUGACUCCUGCAAUCGGAGAGACUGAGGUCUGCAGCGUAGAUCCUUCGGGGUUAGAUACAUUUGUGCUAAGUUAUAGCUUUUUAUAGACAACUUGUUGACUAUGAUUAGUCUUGUAGCUUACUCGCUUAUGCUAUUUUACCUACGCUUAGGAUGUUGAUGUGAUACUGCGAGC
Molecule: ribosomal RNA, 774 nt
Filed under: uncultured Neocallimastigales
Lineage: Eukaryota; Fungi; Neocallimastigomycota; Neocallimastigomycetes; Neocallimastigales
Description: partial large subunit ribosomal RNA
Rfam family: Eukaryotic large subunit ribosomal RNA
Source: RNAcentral